UUGUUACGACUUCACCCCAGUCGCUGACCCUACCGUGGCCGGCUGCCCCCUUUCGGUUAGCGCACCGUCUUCAGGUAAAACCAACUCCCAUGGUGUGACGGGCGGUGUGUACAAGGCCCGGGAACGUAUUCACCGUGGCAUGCUGAUCCACGAUUACUAGCGAUUCCAACUUCAUGGGCUCGAGUUGCAGAGCCCAAUCCGAACUGAGACGGCUUUUUGAGAUUUGCUAGGACUUGCGUCUUCGCUUCCCAUUGUCACCGCCAUUGUAGCACGUGUGUAGCCCAGCCCGUAAGGGCCAUGAGGACUUGACGUCAUCCCCACCUUCCUCGCGGCUUAUCACCGGCAGUCUCCUUAGAGUGCUCAACUAAAUGGUAGCAACUAAGGACGGGGGUUGCGCUCGUUGCGGGACUUAACCCAACAUCUCACGACACGAGCUGACGACAGCCAUGCAGCACCUGUCUCCGGUCCA
This 469-nucleotide ribosomal RNA is filed under the name uncultured Pseudomonadota bacterium. RNAcentral's name for it is "uncultured proteobacterium partial 16S ribosomal RNA". The record is from RNAcentral. Lineage: Bacteria; Pseudomonadati; Pseudomonadota.